This 711-nucleotide ribosomal RNA is filed under the name Phytophthora fragariaefolia. RNAcentral's name for it is "eukaryotic LSU rRNA". It matches the Rfam family "Eukaryotic large subunit ribosomal RNA", at positions 81 to 630 of the family's 3401-position model. Lineage: Eukaryota; Oomycota; Peronosporomycetes; Peronosporales; Peronosporaceae. RNAcentral also lists the same sequence under 1 other name. The record is from RNAcentral.
UAGUAACGGCGAGUGAAGCGGGAAGAGCUCAAGCUUAAAAUCUCCGCGCAAGUUUUGCGCGGCGAAUUGUAGUCUAUAGAGGCGUGGUCAGCGUGGGCGCUUGGGGCAAGUUCCUUGGAAGAGGACAGCAUGGAGGGUGAUACUCCCGUUCAUCCCUGAGUGGCUCGUGCGUACGACCCGUGUUCUUUGAGUCGCGUUGUUUGGGAAUGCAGCGCAAAGUAGGUGGUAAAUUCCAUCUAAAGCUAAAUAUUGGUGCGAGACCGAUAGCGAACAAGUACCGUGAGGGAAAGAUGAAAAGAACUUUGAAAAGAGAGUUAAAGAGUACCUGAAACUGCUGAAAGGGAACCGAAUCGUUUCCAGUGUCUAUAAUCUGUGGCAUAUUUCAUUGGCGAGUGUGCGCGUGCGUGUGCUGUGGCAGUGGCUUUUUUGGCUGCGCUCGGUGUGUGUGCUGUGUGUGCUUGCUGGUGCCCUGUGCUGCGGUGGGACGUCAAGGUCAGUUCGUAUGCUGCGGGAAAUGGCUGCCGAGGAGGUAGGGCUUACGCUCCGCGUUUGUCUGUUAUAUCUUGGUGGACGAGUCGUCGCGGUUGGGACUGAGGUGCCUACAACGUGCUUUUGAGUGAGUUUGUGUCUCCGUGUGCGCCGUGUGCGGAUAGCUUGCUAUGCGUGUGUGGUUGUGUGUGGAUUGAUGCGGGCUUUAACUUGUCGCCGUUC